CCAGCCUCGUACCCCUCGCUCACCCGCACCCACCCCCCCAGCCUCAUUCUAAUUCCAAUUCUCUUUUUAUUCCCAAUUUUUUUGUUCAUUAGACACACACUUUCACCAUGCACACUCUCUACUCUACAUACACCAAGCCUGAUGAUAGCAAGGAAGGGAGGGAGAGCCGGAGCGAGGGAGAGAAUGAGCGAGUGAGAGGACGCCAUUUAAGCAGUUUGUUACGAGCACUGCCAGUCCCCAAAAUGGCUGAAAACAAACAGGAGCCAUGCCAACAGAAAAAAAGCUUGGCCAUGGAGACACGAAGGGAAAGAGAUAAAGAGUGGGAGCGGGCAGAAAGAGAGAGAGACGCCAGACAAUACUUGGGUGGCUCAAAUGUUCCCCUGCUCACUGCUGAUCAAAGGCCGUCUUUAACAUGACAUAUGGAUCAGCAGACACUAAUGAGAGGGCAGUGGCCAGCUGAAUCUCCACGGUAACAAAAGAGGCUGGGACAUCUGGAGUCAGCCACACACAGACUCCUGUCCCUCUGUCACAAAACACAUAGGAGCAACCAAUGGUAAGUUUAUUGACGACAGAAGGAAUCAACACAGUGCAGGAUGAUCCGGGAACACACACAGACACACAGAGGAGCAGUCGAGACGUGGAGAGCAUUAGAUUCGACUUGGUAAAAGUAGACGGCCUCAGAGAUAAUCCAAGGAGCUUACGGUUGGUUUCCCAAGCUUACUUAUGGAGCCUUGUGAUUACUAAACUGGAACAACAGGGCUUCCCUGAGAACUCAUGAUCAAAGCACAGCCCUUUUUCUGCUUGAUUGUGGCUUCCGCUUGGAAGAGGAAGAUCCAGACAGACUGAAGUAACAGGAGCGUUCAGCUGUGUCUGUUUUGCGCUCAAAGCUUCCAUCUAGUGGUCAUAUCUUUUCUCUUAUUUGUAGCUUGACGAGUUUCUUUGCAUUUACCUUAUUGUAACACGACAUAGUGUAAUAUUACAACAUAGACGUUUGAUGGCUACAUUAAGGAAAACUGUAUGGGAGAUAAUCCAAUAUCAUAUGUGGUAUUAAAAGUGUCAAGAAAUUUGGGGUAACAUCUGAUAAGUCUAUGUUAUUGAUAAUUUCUUGUUUGGCAUCUAAACAACGUAUUUCUAAAAUGCAUUGCAUUGUCCAAAAACAGCAAAUCCUCCUCUGAAUAAAAAGUUAUUUGUUUAUGUCUUACCUAUUCAGGUACCAGCCU
Long non-coding RNA from Labeo rohita (rohu), 1220 nucleotides. RefSeq lists it as uncharacterized. The record is from RefSeq and is a predicted model, not a curated record. The transcript is spliced from 5 exons. Lineage: Eukaryota; Metazoa; Chordata; Actinopteri; Cypriniformes; Cyprinidae.